GUGGGGAAUAUUGGGCAAUGGGCGAAAGCCUGACCCAGCAACGCCGCGUGAGUGAUGAAGGCCUUAGGGUUGUAAAGCUCUUUUGUCCGGGAAGAUAAUGACUGUACCGGAAGAAUAAGCCCCGGCUAACUUCGUGCCAGCAGCCGCGGUAAUACGAAGGGGGCUAGCGUUGUUCGGAAUCACUGUGCGUAAAGCGCACGUAGGCGGACCAUUAAGUCAGGGGUGAAAGCCUGGAGCUCAACUCCAGAACUGCCUUUGAUACUGAUGGUCUCGAGUAUGGAAGAGGUUGGUGGAACUGCGAGUGUAGAGGUGAAAUUCGUAGAUAUUCGCAAGAACACCGGUGGCGAAGGCGGCCAACUGGUCCAUUACUGACGCUGAGGUGCGAAAGCGUGGGGAGCAAACAGGAUUAGAAACCCGUGUAGUCC
This 425-nucleotide ribosomal RNA is filed under the name uncultured bacterium. Its description in RNAcentral is "partial 16S ribosomal RNA". It matches the Rfam family "Bacterial small subunit ribosomal RNA", at positions 354 to 796 of the family's 1533-position model. The record is from RNAcentral.